Esox lucius (northern pike) is the source of this 556-nucleotide long non-coding RNA. RefSeq lists it as uncharacterized. The transcript has 3 exons. The record is from RefSeq and is a predicted model, not a curated record. Lineage: Eukaryota; Metazoa; Chordata; Actinopteri; Esociformes; Esocidae.
CAUAACUAUGACUGAGUGAACAAAAACGCUUUGUGUACUUCUCCCAGGCUAUUGUGGCGCUGGACAGACAUAUUAUGGGAUUACUAUUAGGGAGCUAGCUUGCUCCUUUGAUGGAGAGCUUACCUGGAGGAUAAAUAUGGUCAACGACUCGCUUUUUAGGCCCACAUCAGCCUGUGUAUUCCUCCAUAGCUUGAAAACAGUUCCUCUAUUUAUUUAAGCCGUUUCACGCUGCAUUGUUCUAAGCCUUGGGCUAAGGUGGCAUGUGUGCAAAGCCUCUUGAGUUCUCCGGAGCUUUAUCACAAUUUCUUUGAGACUGGCAACGCAGGAUGACCGGGAACAAAAUAAACAAGAGAAAAUCCCCGGGAAGGCGCUACGAGCGGAGCCUGGCUUCCUCAACGGCUGGGGUUCACAGUAGUUUGUCAAAGUUUUCUGAGGUUGUGAUCAGUCACGAUGGUCGUUUGCUGUGGUGUUGGUGGAUGGCCAGACAGCGCUGCAUUUUACAUUGUGUUGGUGUCUCCCUGCAGCCCUGACCGGUCGAGGCAUGGACUCCACUAAA